Molecule: long non-coding RNA, 239 nt
Filed under: Lathyrus oleraceus (garden pea)
Lineage: Eukaryota; Viridiplantae; Streptophyta; Magnoliopsida; Fabales; Fabaceae
Description: Pisum sativum (pea) long non-coding RNA (PSAT_LNC025326)
Source: RNAcentral
AUGCUUUUAUAUUCCAACUCAUUCAUAAGUGGUCUCUUAGGUUGAUUCAAUCUUCUCUAAUUCAAUAUGUUGAUAGGUGACCAUUUGAUCAUAUUUUUAACACUUUGAGUUAUUCAUGGGUUAUCUCUAGGUUGUUCCUUAUGUUUGGGUCCCUGGAUCUGUUUGACAGUGGAUCCUAAGUCAAAUACUCAAGUUUGCCUUCAUUUUUCCCUUUUGUUCUAUUCUUUGUUCUUCGAGCU